GAAAUGAACAUUGAAAAAGGAAAAAGAAACCGAAUAAGGAAAUGGAAAUUGAAUAAGGAAAUGGAAAUCGAAUAAGGAAAUAAAAAAAAAAAAUAAAAAAAAAAAAAAAAAAAAAAAAGAAAAAAAAAAAAAAAAAAUAAAAAAAAAAAAAAAAAAAAAAAAAAAAAAAAAAAAAAAAAAAAAAAAAAAAAAAAAAAAAAAAAAAAAAAAAAAAAAAAAAAAAAAAAAAAAAAACAAAAAAAAAAAAAAAAAAAAAAAAAAAAAAAAAAAGAA
Molecule: long non-coding RNA, 273 nt
Filed under: Mytilus galloprovincialis (Mediterranean mussel)
Lineage: Eukaryota; Metazoa; Mollusca; Bivalvia; Mytilida; Mytilidae
Source: RNAcentral